CCUACGGGGGGCUGCAGUGGGGAAUAUUGGACAAUGGGGGGAACCCUGAUCCAGCCAUGCCGCGUGUGUGAAGAAGGCCCUCGGGUUGUAAAGCACUUUCAGUGAGGAAGAACGCCUGGUGGUUAAUACCCAUCAGGAAAGACAUCACUCACAGAAGAAGCACCGGCUAACUCCGUGCCAGCAGCCGCGGUAAUACGGAGGGUGCGAGCGUUAAUCGGAAUUACUGGGCGUAAAGCGCGCGUAGGUGGCUUGAUAAGCCGGUUGUGAAAGCCCCGGGCUCAACCUGGGAACGGCAUCCGGAACUGUCAAUCUAGAGUGCAGGAGAGGAAGGUAGAAUUCCCGGUGUAGCGGUGAAAUGCGUAGAGAUCGGGAGGAAUACCAGUGGCGAAGGCGGCCUUCUGGACUGACACUGACACUGAGGUGCGAAAGCGUGGGUAGCAAACAGGAUUAGAUACCCUAGUAGUC
This 465-nucleotide ribosomal RNA is filed under the name Vreelandella stevensii. RNAcentral's name for it is "partial 16S ribosomal RNA". It matches the Rfam family "Bacterial small subunit ribosomal RNA", at positions 338 to 795 of the family's 1533-position model. Lineage: Bacteria; Pseudomonadati; Pseudomonadota; Gammaproteobacteria; Oceanospirillales; Halomonadaceae. The record is from RNAcentral.